Molecule: non-coding RNA, 97 nt
Filed under: pig gut metagenome
Description: THF riboswitch
Rfam family: THF (Tetrahydrofolate) riboswitch aptamer
About the family: THF riboswitch presents a pseudoknot that joins P1-P2 and the loop of P3 and two THF binding.
Source: RNAcentral
CAGAGUAGGUCUGUGUGCGUAAAGUGCGGAGCGAACGGGGAGUUGUCGCUCUGACGAAAAGCGGUGACGCUUGCGGUACACGGAUUGCAUCCCGCUG